Molecule: non-coding RNA, 85 nt
Organism: Pseudophryne corroboree (corroboree frog)
Lineage: Eukaryota; Metazoa; Chordata; Amphibia; Anura; Myobatrachidae
Product: small Cajal body-specific RNA 18
Exons: 1
Source: RefSeq, a predicted model, not a curated record
UGGUCAGUGAUGACUAGCCCACUGCGCAAUCUUAUUUCAUAAGAAAAAUAUGAUAGAAAAUGUGCUGUACAAGGUUCUGAGACCA